UACGUAGGGUGCAAGCGUUGUCCGGAAUUAUUGGGCGUAAAGAGCUUGUAGGCGGUUUGUCGCGUCUGCUGUGAAAUUUCGGGGCUCAACCCCGAACUUGCAGUGGGUACGGGCAGACUAGAGUGUGGUAGGGGAGACUGGAAUUCCUGGUGUAGCGGUGAAAUGCGCAGAUAUCGGGAGGAACACCGGUGGCGAAGGCGGUUCUCUGGGCCUUACCUGACGCUGAGGAGCGAAAUCGUGGGGAGCGAACAGG
Molecule: ribosomal RNA, 253 nt
Filed under: uncultured bacterium
Lineage: Bacteria
Description: partial 16S ribosomal RNA
Rfam family: Bacterial small subunit ribosomal RNA
Source: RNAcentral